UACGCCACUUUUCUAGGUGCUUUUCAAAGUGAUCUUACAAUGAGUGCUAUGUACCCUACUCUAUCAACUAAAAACCCGGACGUGAGUGAAAAGUUACAACUGAAUCAACUCACAUCCAAAAUUGGAGAAAAGAGAUGGGUAGUAUCGACAGAAUUGUGACUUGUCAAGUAUCAUGACGAAAUUUGGCUGCGCGUUGGAGUCAAUUUCCUGCGAAGGCCCGGCCAACACAGACCUAAAUCUUAAUCGUGAAAUGCAAUUAUUUUUUAGUGUUUAGCUAUGUUUUAACUUAAACUUUUCCGUGCUUUUCUAAGAGCUCUUAUAAAUAACUUUUUCCAAUUGUAGUUAUACUCCUUUUUCUCUGUAGACAGUGUUCUAUAAAGAAUGCCAGUCUUCUGUUAGACUACCCAAUUGGUAUUUCCAGCGAAAUUCAUAUUCCAAUAUGAAUUUCAUACUCCAAUAUGAAUUUCCUACCACCUGUCAAUGGACUGCACUCAAGUUCACCAUUCAAUAACGACUCUAAGUUUUCCUUAAGAUUUACACUUAAAGUGUCUAGGAAGACGUUCAAAAAUAUUGAGACUAAUCACGGUUGAGCGCCGCCGGGAACUAUCACCUAGGCCAUGCCCGUGCCUGAAAGAAAAAGUCAGGACGUUGAUUCGAACGGAUUCGAAUGCAACGAGCACUAAGUACGGUCACAUUAUUGGAGGAAUGACCGUGUGCUUGGUUCGUGAUUUGGAGUCACAAGUGAUAGCUGCAAGCUGAUGUCACUCGAACCACUGCACCAACCCGACUAAGCAUGAUCGAAAAAAGCUACAGCUCAUUAUGGCGUCAGUUUAGCUUUAAUGCUAAAUUUCGCAAACACGGUGAACUAGAUUGACAAUAAUAAAAAAUGAACUUUAUUCGUCACUUGCUGUGUUACUUAUUAUUAAGAAUCUCAAUUGUGCUAAACAAAUUUUGACACGCAAAAAAUGCUACAAUAGAAACGGAAACGGUUGCACUCACGGAUCGUGACUGGAACAUGUAUACCAAUCCCGCCAUAAGACCUAGAAGUUACUCUUCGGUUGCCACCAGGUGGCAUAUGAGUAGCAUAUUUCUAUGAAAUCUUUUGAUGGCUGUCUGCUGUCUGCUUAACUGGGCAUUGAUGGCAGGUUAAUUUUUAAAAAGUUUGUACUUCAAAUAUAGGAACUAUCUUGCUUUCGGCGGAUUAUUCUCAGUUGGAACUUCGAAUAUUGGCGCAUUUGAGCGAAGACGCAGGUCUUUGUUCUGUUCUUAGCCAACCCGAUGGCGAUGUUUUCCGCGGCAUUGUAUCGGUUUGGAAAAAGAAAAAGCAAGAAGAAGUCAGAGACGAUGAAAGGCAAAAAGCGAAACAAAUCUGCUACGGGAUUGUUUACGGCAUGGGAUGUAAAUGUUUAGCCGAACAGUUGGAAGUCGGGGAAGAAGAGGCUCAACUCUUUGUUAACACUUUCCACGCAACGUAUCCUAGUAUACAAAGCUUUAUAACAAACACAGUUAACCAGUGCCGCACGAAUGGAUUUGAUGAUGUUGAUGCCUAAUUUUCUUGACAGGUCAACCGAUGUGGAAAAAAAUUCAGGAGGAAAAUGAAUUGAGCUGCUGACAUUGGCCUAUUCUGGAAUACAUCAGUUUGCAUCAUAAUCAGAAAGGACAAGAGAAGGAAAACGCUGGAACUGUGUGCUACAAUCAUGAUUCUUCUUAUAUUCUCCUCCGCUGGAAAACGAUACUUUAUUGUGUCAUGACCAAGAUGCUUAACAGGCGUCGGAAAAAAAAAAAAAGAGGUUUGUCUUCCAACAAAUGAAUACAGACUUACUUGACUCCCAAUUACAACUCGAAAGGUCAAGCGUUGGAAUGGGAUUGGCACCCCAUUGCAAUGCAAGACUGAAUAGAGAGGUAAGAGCCCUCAGCUGAUGUCACGAUGUGGAUCAUAUAGUACAGCAAUAUGAUCUCCGUCCGGGCAGGUCUGGAGGUUACUCGAUAGCAAGUCAAUCAAGUGCUUAGCGCAACCCUUUUUUUCUUUUUUUUCUUUUUUUUUCUUUUUCAAUAACUAAAAUCCAAACUGGCUAACCAAAACUUCUAACAUCUAGUCAGAAUAUUUGAGCAUUUCCUUUUAAUGGAAUUUCAGAUUGAAAUUAGGAAAUUAACAUUAGUGAUGGAAAUGCAAACUAAAAAUUUUACGCUACAUCCUGCUACGCAAUUAAAAACGGUAAAGAUAAGUGGAUUUCAACCUUGCCCAAUUCAAUGUUAAUUGGCAAAUGCAAUCAAUUGAAGCAAUGUUCUAUGCUAAACAACUAAAUAGCUAUAUAAAUUAUACCAGACUGAUGAAUACCAAUGAUGUAAAUCUCACUAAUGUUCUAGUGUAUAAAUGCGUUCAGCAAUUACAAUGUUGUAGGGAAACAAA
RNA transcript from Daphnia magna, 2410 nucleotides. It is a transcript of the gene named DNA polymerase theta-like, with no coding region annotated. Lineage: Eukaryota; Metazoa; Arthropoda; Branchiopoda; Diplostraca; Daphniidae. The transcript has 4 exons. The record is from RefSeq and is a predicted model, not a curated record.